AGAUUGAACGCUGGCGGCAUGCCUAACACAUGCAAGUCGAGCGGCAGCGCGGGGGCAACCCUGGCGGCGAGCGGCGGACGGGUGAGUAAGGCAUCGGAAUCUGCCCUGAUGUGGGGGAUAACGUAGGGAAACUUACGCUAAUACCGCAUACGACCGAGAGGUGAAAGCGGGGGAUCGAAAGACCUCGCGCCGGUGGAUGAGCCGAAGCCGGAUUAGCUAGUUGGUAGGGUAAUGGCCUACCAAGGCGACGAUCCGUAGCUGGUCUGAGAGGACGACCAGCCACACUGGGACUGAGACACGGCCCAGACUCCUACGGGGAGGCAGC
Molecule: ribosomal RNA, 325 nt
Filed under: uncultured prokaryote
Description: bacterial SSU rRNA
Rfam family: Bacterial small subunit ribosomal RNA
Source: RNAcentral